Molecule: ribosomal RNA, 253 nt
Filed under: uncultured bacterium
Lineage: Bacteria
Description: partial 16S ribosomal RNA
Rfam family: Bacterial small subunit ribosomal RNA
Source: RNAcentral
UACGGGGGGGGCAAGCGUUGUCCGGAUUUAUUGGGCGUAAAGAGCGUGUAGGCGGCUAGGUAGGUCCGUUGUGAAAACUCGAGGCUCAACCUCGAGACGUCGAUGGAAACCAUCUGGCUAGAGUCCGGAAGAGGAGAGUGGAAUUCCUGGUGUAGCGGUGAAAUGCGCAGAUAUCAGGAAGAACACCCGUGGCGAAGGCGGCUCUCUGGUACGUGACUGACGCUGAGACGCGAAAGCGUGGGGAGCGAACAGG